CCUACGGGAGGCAGCAGUGAGGAAUAUUGGUCAAUGGCCGGGAGGCUGAACCAGCCAAGCCGCGUGAGGGAAGACGGCCCUACGGGUUGUAAACCUCUUUUGUCAGGGAGCAAGGUGCAGGUCGGGACCUGCUGUGAGAGUACCUGAAGAAAAAGCAUCGGCUAACCCCGUGCCAGCAGCCGCGGUAAUACGGAGGAUGCGAGCGUUAUCCGGAUUUAUUGGGUUUAAAGGGUGCGCAGGCGGAGGGACAAGUCAGCGGUAAAAUCGCGGGGCUCAACCCCGCCCCGCCGUUGAAACUGGUGUUCUUGAGUGAGCGAGAAGUAUGCGGAAUGCGUGGUGUAGCGGUGAAAUGCAUAGAUAUCACGCAGAACUCCGAUUGCGAAGGCAGCAUACCGGCGCUCAACUGACGCUCAGGCACGAAAGUGUGGGUAUCGAACAGGAUUAGAUACCCCUGUAGUC
RNAcentral lists this ribosomal RNA (459 nucleotides) under uncultured bacterium. RNAcentral describes it as "partial 16S ribosomal RNA". It matches the Rfam family "Bacterial small subunit ribosomal RNA", at positions 338 to 795 of the family's 1533-position model. The record is from RNAcentral.